AAGUCGUAACAAGGUAACCGUAGGUGAACCUGCGGUUGGAUCAUUAACAAAUUCAACCAAAAGGAAUCUGGUGCAGUGGGUAAAACUACUCGCCAGGCUCUUUUUACACACAAUGUGAACCGUUUAUUGUCUCUGGUGGCGUUAAAAGCUCGGGCGCUUGCCCGAGUGGGAUCAAGCUGGUGCGUGAGAAAUCGCGUACCGGCCGACGCCUACCCACCGCACAAACUAAACUCUGUAUUUAUACAAUCGGCCUUUAUAUCUUUAAAAAAAGUUAAUUAAACAACAACUUUUGGCAACGGAUCUCUAGGCUCUU
RNAcentral lists this unclassified non-coding RNA (313 nucleotides) under fungal sp. RNAcentral describes it as "partial internal transcribed spacer region". The stretch from base 1 to 46 matches the Rfam family "Eukaryotic small subunit ribosomal RNA", at positions 1786 to 1831 of the family's 1831-position model. Lineage: Eukaryota; Fungi. The record is from RNAcentral.